Ananas comosus (pineapple) is the source of this 404-nucleotide long non-coding RNA. RefSeq lists it as uncharacterized. The record is from RefSeq and is a predicted model, not a curated record. The transcript has 4 exons. NCBI's taxonomy places the organism in Eukaryota, Viridiplantae, Streptophyta, Magnoliopsida, Poales, Bromeliaceae.
CCUGCCUUACUAUUUAUGGCAAUGUGGUGAUAUUAAGGAACUCAGUAAUGUAUACUCUAUCAUGGAGUUUGAUUUCUCGGUACCAAUUCAUGCCUGUUUUGGGAAAACAGAGAUUGAAUUUUCUACUCCAGGAACAUGCCAUGGCUUUGCUCUUUGGAUUGAUUGGCUAAUCGAUGAAAGAAAUUCCAUUUCUAUAUCAACCGGACUAGGUUAGCAUCAAUAACUACAAAAUCAAUCAAUGUGGAGCAUUUUGAUCUUGUUAAUAGACACCGGAAACAAGGGGUACAGCUUAUCAGCAAGCCAGUGGUGGUCAAUGUAGCUUCAUGCUACACCGAAAUAGAGGCCUCCUUCGAUCCUUCGACUGGCGAACUCUUCGUUAAACCCUCAUUCUCAUACCCAUCAUA